Molecule: non-coding RNA, 26 nt
Filed under: Homo sapiens (human)
Lineage: Eukaryota; Metazoa; Chordata; Mammalia; Primates; Hominidae
Source: RNAcentral
UUCAUGAAAGGUGAGGAUUUGAGGUA